GCCUCCGUAGCUCAGUUGGUAGAGCUCCCGCCUUGUAAGCGGAUGGUCGCGGGUUCGAAUCCUGUCGGAGGCU
Molecule: transfer RNA, 73 nt
Filed under: Actinomycetes bacterium
Lineage: Bacteria; Bacillati; Actinomycetota; Actinomycetes
Also listed under: 2 other names
Description: tRNA-Thr
Rfam family: tRNA
About the family: Transfer RNA (tRNA) molecules are approximately 80 nucleotides in length. Their secondary structure includes four short double-helical elements and three loops (D, anti-codon, and T loops).
Source: RNAcentral